AUGAACGCUAGCGGGAGGCUUAACACAUGCAAGUCGAGGGGCAGCAUUUCUAGCUUGCUAGAAGAUGGCGACCGGCGCACGGGUGCGUAACGCGUAUGCAACUUACCUCUAACUGGAAGAUAACCCAAAGAAAUUUGGACUAAUACUCCAUAACAUCACGAAUUCGCAUGUUUUUGUGAUUAAAGUUUCGAUGGUUACAGAUGGGCAUGCGUGACAUUAGUUAGUUGGUAAGGUAACGGCUUACCAAGACUGUGAUGUUUACGGGGUCUUAAAGGAUGGUCCCGCACACUGGUACUGAGACACGGACCAGACUCCUACGGGAGGCAGCAGUGAGGAAUAUUGGUCAAUGGACGCAAGUCUGAACCAGCCAUGCCGCGUGAAGGAUGACGGCCCUACGGGUUGUAAACUUCUUUUAUACAGGAAGAAAAUACCUUACGAGUAAGGGACUGACGGUACUGUAAGAAUAAGGAUCGGCUAACUCCGUGCCAGCAGCCGCGGUAAUACGGAGGAUCCAAGCGUUAUCCGGAUUUAUUAGGUUUAAAGGGUCCGCAGGCGGAACUGUAAGUCAGUGGUGAAAUCCUGCAGCUUAACUGUAGAACUGCCAUUGAUACUGCAAUUCUUGAGUAUAGUUGAUGUGGGCGGAAUGUGUCAUGUAGCGGUGAAAUGCAUAGAUAUGACACAGAACGCCGAUAGCGAAGGCAGCUCACAAAACUACUACUGACGCUGAGGCACGAAAGCGUGGGGAGCGAACAGGAUUAGAUACCCUGGUAGUCCACGCCGUAAACGAUGAUAACUAGUUGUUGGCGAUAUACUGUCAGCGACCAAGCGAAAGCGAUAAGUUAUCCACCUGGGGAGUACGAUCGCAAGGUUGAAACUCAAAGGAAUUGACGGGGGCCCGCACAAGCGGUGGAGCAUGUGGUUUAAUUCGAUGAUACGCGAGGAACCUUACCUGGGCUUAAAUGCAUAUUGACAGAUUGGGAAACCAGUCCUUCUUCGGACAAUUUGCAAGGUGCUGCAUGGUUGUCGUCAGCUCGUGCUGUGAGGUGUCGGGUUAAGUCCCAUAACGAGCGCAACCCCUAUUCUUAGUUGCCAGCGAGUAAUGUCGGGGACUCUAGAGAAACUGCCCGCGCAAGCGGAGAGGAAGGUGGGGAUGACGUCAAAUCAUCACGGCCCUUACGUCCAGGGCUACACGCGUGCUACAAUGGCAGGUACAGAGGGCAGCUACAUAGUGAUAUGAUGCGAAUCUUCAAAGCCUGUCUCAGUUCGGAUCGAAGUCUGAAACUCGACUUCGUGAAGCUGGACUCGCUAGUAAUCGCGUAUCAGCAAUGACGCGGUGAAUACGUUCCCGGGCCUUGUACACACCGC
RNAcentral lists this ribosomal RNA (1365 nucleotides) under uncultured prokaryote. RNAcentral describes it as "partial 16S ribosomal RNA". It matches the Rfam family "Bacterial small subunit ribosomal RNA", at positions 29 to 1393 of the family's 1533-position model. The record is from RNAcentral.